UCUUAGAUGACUGAGGGAAUAAGUGUUAGAUUUUUAAUCUAAAAACGGCUAAUUAUAUGCCUCUAAGAG
Molecule: transfer RNA, 69 nt
Filed under: Buccinum tsubai
Lineage: Eukaryota; Metazoa; Mollusca; Gastropoda; Neogastropoda; Buccinidae
Description: tRNA-Lys
Rfam family: tRNA
About the family: Transfer RNA (tRNA) molecules are approximately 80 nucleotides in length. Their secondary structure includes four short double-helical elements and three loops (D, anti-codon, and T loops).
Source: RNAcentral